RNAcentral lists this ribosomal RNA (301 nucleotides) under uncultured bacterium. RNAcentral describes it as "partial 16S ribosomal RNA". It matches the Rfam family "Bacterial small subunit ribosomal RNA", at positions 509 to 807 of the family's 1533-position model. The record is from RNAcentral.
CAGUAGCCACGGGAAUACGGAGGGUGCGAGCGUUAAUCGGAAUAACUGGGCGUAAAGGGCACGCAGGCGGUGACUUAAGUGAGGUGUGAAAGCCCCGGGCUUAACCUGGGAAUUGCAUUUCAUACUGGGUCGCUAGAGUACUUUAGGGAGGGGUAGAAUUCCACGUGUAGCGGUGAAAUGCGUAGAGAUGUGGAGGAAUACCGAAGGCGAAGGCAGCCCCUUGGGAAUGUACUGACGCUCAUGUGCGAAAGCGUGGGGAGCAAACGGGAUUAGAUACCCCAGUAGUCCCUGUCUCUUAUAC